UUUAAUGAGAGUUUGAUCCUGGCUCAGGACGAACGCUGGCGGCGUGCCUAAUACAUGCAAGUGGAACGCAUGAUUGAUACCGGAGCUUGCUCCACCAUUAAUCAUGAGUCGCGAACGGGUGAGUAACGCGUAGGUAACCUACCUCAUAGCGGGGGAUAACUAUUGGAAACGAUAGCUAAUACCGCAUAACAGUAUUUAUCACAUGGUAAAUGCUUGAAAGGAGCAAUUGCUUCACUAUGAGAUGGACCUGCGUUGUAUUAGCUAGUUGGUGGGGUAACGGCUCACCAAGGCAUCGAUACAUAGCCGACCUGAGAGGGUGAUCGGCCACACUGGGACUGAGACACGGCCCAGACUCCUACGGGAGGCAGCAGUAGGGAAUCUUCGGCAAUGGGGGGAACCCUGACCGAGCAACGCCGCGUGAGUGAAGAAGGUUUUCGGAUCGUAAAGCUCUGUUGUAAGAGAAGAACGUGUGUGAGAGUGGAAAAUUCACACAGUGACGGUAACUUACCAGAAAGGGACGGCUAACUACGUGCCAGCAGCCGCGGUAAUACGUAGGUCCCGAGCGUUGUCCGGAUUUAUUGGGCGUAAAGCGAGCGCAGGCGGUUUGAUAAGUCUGAAGUAAAAGGCUGUGGCUUAACCAUAGUAUGCUUUGGAAACUGUCAAACUUGAGUGCAGAAGGGGAGAGUGGAAUUCCAUGUGUAGCGGUGAAAUGCGUAGAUAUAUGGAGGAACACCGGUGGCGAAAGCGGCUCUCUGGUCUGUAACUGACGCUGAGGCUCGAAAGCGUGGGGAGCGAACAGGAUUAGAUACCCUGGUAGUCCACGCCGUAAACGAUGAGUGCUAGGUGUUGGGUCCUUUCCGGGACUCAGUGCCGCAGCUAACGCAUUAAGCACUCCGCCUGGGGAGUACGACCGCAAGGUUGAAACUCAAAGGAAUUGACGGGGGCCCGCACAAGCGGUGGAGCAUGUGGUUUAAUUCGAAGCAACGCGAAGAACCUUACCAGGUCUUGACAUCCCAGUGACCGUCCUAGAGAUAGGAUUUUUCUUCGGAACACUGGAGACAGGUGGUGCAUGGUUGUCGUCAGCUCGUGUCGUGAGAUGUUGGGUUAAGUCCCGCAACGAGCGCAACCCCUAUUGUUAGUUGCCAUCAUUCAGUUGGGCACUCUAGCGAGACUGCCGGUAAUAAACCGGAGGAAGGUGGGGAUGACGUCAAAUCAUCAUGCCCCUUAUGACCUGGGCUACACACGUGCUACAAUGGCUGGUACAACGAGUCGCAAGUCGGUGACGACAAGCUAAUCUCUUAAAGCCAGUCUCAGUUCGGAUUGUAGGCUGCAACUCGCCUACAUGAAGUCGGAAUCGCUAGUAAUCGCGGAUCAGCACGCCGCGGUGAAUACGUUCCCGGGCCUUGUACACACCGCCCGUCACACCACGAGAGUUUGUAACACCCGAAGUCGGUGAGGUAACCAUUUGGAGCCAGCCGCCUAAGGUGGGAUAGAUGAUUGGGGUGAAGUCGUAACAAGGUAGCCGUAUCGGAAGGUGCGGCUGGAUCACCUCCUUU
This 1556-nucleotide ribosomal RNA is filed under the name Streptococcus suis. RNAcentral's name for it is "bacterial SSU rRNA". It matches the Rfam family "Bacterial small subunit ribosomal RNA". The record is from RNAcentral. Lineage: Bacteria; Bacillati; Bacillota; Bacilli; Lactobacillales; Streptococcaceae. RNAcentral also lists the same sequence under 1 other name.